This 468-nucleotide ribosomal RNA is filed under the name uncultured bacterium. Its description in RNAcentral is "partial 16S ribosomal RNA". It matches the Rfam family "Bacterial small subunit ribosomal RNA", at positions 28 to 507 of the family's 1533-position model. The record is from RNAcentral.
GACGAACGCUGGCGGCGUGCUUAACACAUGCAAGUCGAACGGAAAGGCCCUGCUUUUGUGGGGUGCUCGAGUGGCGAACGGGUGAGUAACACGUGAGUAACCUGCCCUUGACUUUGGGAUAACUUCAGGAAACUGGGGCUAAUACCGGAUAGGAGCUCCUGCUGCAUGGUGUGGGUUGGAAAGUUUCGGCGGUUGGGGAUGGACUCGCGGCUUAUCAGCUUGUUGGUGGGGUAUUGGCUUACCAAGGCUUUGACGGGUAGCCGGCCUGAGAGGGUGACCGGCCACAUUGGGACUGAGAUACGGACCAGAAUCCUACGGGAGGCAGCAGGGGGGAAUAUUGCACAAUGGGAGGAAGCCUGAUGCAGAAACGCCGCGUGCGGGAUGACGGCCUUCGGGUUGUAAACAGAUUUCGCCUGUGACGAAGCGUGAGUGACGGUAAUGGGUAAAGAAGCACCGGCUAACUACGUG